CCUACGGGGUGCUGCAGUGGGGAAUAUUGGACAAUGGGCGAAAGCCUGAUCCAGCCAUGCCGCGUGUGUGAAGAAGGCCUUCGGGUUGUAAAGCACUUUCAGUGGGGAAGAAAGCCUUGGGGCUAAUACCCUCGAGGAAGGACAUCACCCACAGAAGAAGCACCGGCUAACUCCGUGCCAGCAGCCGCGGUAAUACGGAGGGUGCGAGCGUUAAUCGGAAUUACUGGGCGUAAAGCGCGCGUAGGCGGUCUGAUAAGCCGGUUGUGAAAGCCCCGGGCUCAACCUGGGAACGGCAUCCGGAACUGUCAGGCUAGAGUGCAGGAGAGGAAGGUAGAAUUCCCGGUGUAGCGGUGAAAUGCGUAGAGAUCGGGAGGAAUACCAGUGGCGAAGGCGGCCUUCUGGACUGACACUGACGCUGAGGUGCGAAAGCGUGGGUAGCAAACAGGAUUAGUACCCCGAGUAGUC
This 465-nucleotide ribosomal RNA is filed under the name Vreelandella stevensii. RNAcentral's name for it is "partial 16S ribosomal RNA". It matches the Rfam family "Bacterial small subunit ribosomal RNA", at positions 338 to 795 of the family's 1533-position model. Lineage: Bacteria; Pseudomonadati; Pseudomonadota; Gammaproteobacteria; Oceanospirillales; Halomonadaceae. The record is from RNAcentral.